Molecule: ribosomal RNA, 429 nt
Filed under: Chloroflexota bacterium
Lineage: Bacteria; Bacillati; Chloroflexota
Description: Chloroflexi bacterium partial 16S ribosomal RNA
Rfam family: Bacterial small subunit ribosomal RNA
Source: RNAcentral
UGGGGAAUAUUGCACAAUGGGCGCAAGCCUGAUGCAGCCAUGCCGCGUGUAUGAAGAAGGCCUUCGGGUUGUAAAGUACUUUCAGCGGGGAGGAAGGGAGUAAAGUUAAUACCUUUACUCAUUGACGUUACCCGCAGAAGAAGCACCGGCUAACUCCGUGCCAGCAGCCGCGGUAAUACGGAGGGUGCAAGCGUUAAUCGGAAUUACUGGGCGUAAAGCGCACGCAGGCGGUUGAUUGAGUCAGAUGUGAAAUCCCCGGGCUUAACCCGGGAAGUGCAUCUGAUACUGGUCAGCUAGAGGCUUGUAGAGGGGGGUAGAAUUCCAUGUGUAGCGGUGAAAUGCGUAGAGAUGUGGAGGAAUACCGGUGGCGAAGGCGGCCCCCUGGACAAAGACUGACGCUCAGGUGCGAAAGCGUGGGGAGCAAACAGG